This 252-nucleotide ribosomal RNA is filed under the name uncultured bacterium. RNAcentral describes it as "partial 16S ribosomal RNA". It matches the Rfam family "Bacterial small subunit ribosomal RNA", at positions 524 to 776 of the family's 1533-position model. The record is from RNAcentral.
UACAGAGGUCCCAAGCGUUGUUCGGAUUCAUUGGGCGUAAAGGGUGUGUAGGUGGCGCCGUAAGUCGGGUGUGAAAUCUCGGGGCUUAACUCCGAAACUGCAUUCGAUACUGCGGUGCUUGAGGACUGGAGAGGAGACUGGAAUUCAUGGUGUAGCAGUGAAAUGCGUAGAGAUCAUGAGGAAGACCAGUGGCGAAGGCGGGUCUCUGGACAGUUCCUGACACUGAGACACGAAGGCCAGGGAGCAAACGGG